Molecule: transfer RNA, 72 nt
Filed under: Ipomoea nil (Japanese morning glory)
Lineage: Eukaryota; Viridiplantae; Streptophyta; Magnoliopsida; Solanales; Convolvulaceae
Rfam family: tRNA
About the family: Transfer RNA (tRNA) molecules are approximately 80 nucleotides in length. Their secondary structure includes four short double-helical elements and three loops (D, anti-codon, and T loops).
Source: Rfam by way of RNAcentral
GUGCUUGUAGUCCAACGGUUAGGAUAAUUGCCUUUCAAGCAAUAGACUUGGGUUCAACUUCUGGCAGACGCA